RNAcentral lists this unclassified non-coding RNA (21 nucleotides) under Mus musculus (house mouse). RNAcentral describes it as "oocyte_clustered_small_RNA11640". Lineage: Eukaryota; Metazoa; Chordata; Mammalia; Rodentia; Muridae. The record is from RNAcentral.
UAUCCUGGCCUUCUGAUGCAC